This 910-nucleotide ribosomal RNA is filed under the name uncultured bacterium. RNAcentral's name for it is "bacterial SSU rRNA". It matches the Rfam family "Bacterial small subunit ribosomal RNA", at positions 33 to 934 of the family's 1533-position model. The record is from RNAcentral.
ACGCUGGCGGCAGGCUUAACACAUGCAAGUCGAACGGUAACAGGGAUUAGCUUGCUAAUUUGCCGACGAGUGGCGGACGGGUGAGUAAUGCUUGGGAAUCUGGCUUAUGGAGGGGGAUAACUACGGGAAACUGUAGCUAAUACCGCGUAAUAUCGGAAGAUUAAAGGGUGGGACUUUCGAGCCACCUGCCAUAAGAUGAGCCCAAGUGGGAUUAGGUAGUUGGUUAGGUAAAGGCUGACCAAGCCGACGAUCUCUAGCUGGUCUGAGAGGAUGACCAGCCACACUGGAACUGAGACACGGUCCAGACUCCUACGGGAGGCAGCUGUGGGGAAUAUUGCACAAUGGGGGGAACCCUGAUGCAGCCAUGCCGCGUGAAUGAAGAAGGCCUUCGGGUUGUAAAGUUCUUUCGGUGACGAGGAAGGUUGAUAGGUUAAUAGCCUAUCAAAUUGACGUUAAUCACAGAAGAAGCACCGGCUAACUCCGUGCCAGCAGCCGCGGUAAUACGGGGGGUGCGAGCGUUAAUCGGAAUAACUGGGCGUAAAGGGCACGCAGGCGGUGACUUAAGUGAGAUGUGAAAGCCCCGAGCUUAACUUGGGAAUUGCAUUUCAUACUGGGUCGCUAGAGUACUUUAGGGAGGGGUAGAAUUCCACGUGUAGCGGUGAAAUGCGUAGAGAUGUGGAGGAAUACCGAAGGCGAAGGCAGCCCCUUGGGAAUGUACUGACGCUCAUGUGCGAAAGCGUGGGGAGCAAACAGGAUUAGAUACCCUGGUAGUCCACGCUGUAAACGAUGUCGAUUUGGGGAUUGGGCUUUGAGCUUGGUGCCCGUAGCUAACGUGAUAAAUCGACCGCCUGGGGAGUACGGCCGCAAGGUUAAAACUCAAAUGAAUUGACGGGGGCCCGCACAAGCGGUG